RNAcentral lists this long non-coding RNA (644 nucleotides) under Felis catus (domestic cat). Its description in RNAcentral is "lncRNA (ENSFCAG00000043116.1)". Lineage: Eukaryota; Metazoa; Chordata; Mammalia; Carnivora; Felidae. The record is from RNAcentral.
GCAGGAGAGAUCAGAGUGGUCCCAGCCCAGAAGCUGCAGCCAGUACUGUCCACCCCCUGCUGGAAUGAAGUGCUCAGAAUCCCCCUCGCCAACCGCCAACCUUUCCACGUGGAUGCCCCCAUGCUGUUCUAGUUAAUAGGCAAGGAUACCCUGCUGCCCCAUUUCACCUGCUCCCCCAGACACAGCCAGUCACUGCCUCCCGGAACCUCUCACACCACAGGGGAGCUCCUCUCAGAAGCCAGAGCAGGGGGGCGGGCGAUGCAGCCAUCAAGAGAGCACAAGAGGCUUCUGCCAGAUCAGAGGGAAGGAUUCUGAGGCUCUUCCCACCGUUAACAUAAUGAGGGGGUAACCUGGUAUUUAAAUCCCGGCCAAAGAGGGCCCUCACGCCUUCCCCCUCCACCACCCCACCUAGAAGCCAGUGCCCUCACCUCUUCCCCCUGCCUGAACACCCACCCUCCAGACAGUGUCUGCAAUGAGUCUGCUGCCCGCAAGCAUGAUGGCGUGAACUGAGGUAUGAGUGUUGAAUGUCAGAGACCUGGUUCCACUUGGCUCUUCCUCCAAGGACCUUGGACAAGACCUUUUCACUGUGGGUCUCCGAGUUCCCAGCUCUAAAACUAGUGGGGGUUCCACCUAAAUUAGUUCUU